RNAcentral lists this ribosomal RNA (450 nucleotides) under uncultured bacterium. RNAcentral's name for it is "partial 16S ribosomal RNA". It matches the Rfam family "Bacterial small subunit ribosomal RNA", at positions 338 to 795 of the family's 1533-position model. The record is from RNAcentral.
CCUACGGGGGGCUGCAGUGGGGAAUAUUGGACAAUGGGCGCAAGCCUGAUCCAGCAAUGCCGCGUGUGUGAAGAAGGCCUGCGGGUUGUAAAGCACUUUGAGUGGGGAAGAAGGCCUGGGGGUUAAUAGCUUCUGGGAUUGACGUUACCCACAGAACAAGCACCGGCUAACUCCGUGCCAGCAGCCGCGGUAAUACGGAGGGUGCGAGCGUUAAUCGGAGCGCCUGGGCGUAAAUGACGCGUAGUGGGUUGAAAGCCCUGGGCUUAACCUGGGAACUGCAUUGGAUACUGUUUGACUGGAGUGUGGUAGAGGGGUGUGGAAUUUCCGGUGUAGCAGUGAAAUGCGUAGAGAUCGGAAGGAACACCAGUGGCGAAGGCGGCACCCUGGACCGACACUGACGCUGAGGUGCGAAAGCGUGGGGAGCAAACAGGAUUAGAUACCCCUGUAGUC